RNAcentral lists this long non-coding RNA (1004 nucleotides) under Anas platyrhynchos platyrhynchos (common mallard). RNAcentral describes it as "lncRNA (ENSAPLG00000027899.1)". Lineage: Eukaryota; Metazoa; Chordata; Aves; Anseriformes; Anatidae. The record is from RNAcentral.
AUUAAAAGCAAUUUUUAAAAAUAUUUCCAGCUUAAUUUCUGUGAAUAUCAGCUUUCUUCCCUGGGAAUCCUCACAGAUUACUUGUUUUAUUUUAUGUUUUGAGUCCUUGGUUCAGAGUUUAAAAACAGAAACAAACAACAACAAAACACAAAUAAAACCAAACUAACCAACCAAACAAACAAACCUUGAUGAGUCUAGGACAAAAUGACUGAGUUUAACCACUUGCCUUAGAUUUCCUUCAGCUGAUUUUGUUUCUCUUGGAGAUCUUCACUUUCCUUCAUUAAAAUCUUGGCACAGUGACUGCCUUGCUCUGGAAAAUGUACCUGGGAACUGACAGCAUUUCUUUUGCAGGUUUUUCAAAACACUUCUUGUGUGUGUGAACAGCUGCCAAACAUCUCACCAAGUGUUGCUGAGUAGCUUCUAACUUGGGUGAGCUCCCACAAAGGGUGAAGAGGACAAGGAGGUGUAAGCUGCAGAGCUGGGGCUGUGGAUUGGUUUCGGUGUCACAAGUGCUUCCAGGUAAUGCUGAGUCUCAGCAGCUUCAUGAGAGCUGGAUGUGAUGGGCUUGUGCUACUGCAAAGGGGUGUGCAAGUCUGGGGUUAUAACCUCAGAAAAAGAAGCCAGCAAUUACACCUGCCAGCAUUUUCCCCUGGCCACUGGUGCAAUUACCCAUCAAGGAUAAUUGACAGCAAGAUAAUAGGGAAAGGUGAACCCCAGGCAGGCAAUGACUGUCCAAAUACAUGUACCUUAGAGAGACUCAGUAUAGCUGCACUGCUGGGAUGAUGUCCUGUGCUGCGCUGCUGAGGCAGGAGGAAUUACGCAUCCAGCUGAUAGGGCUGAGCUCACCCACCAAUGGCAAAAAGGUACAGUGGCCACUUUCUCAAGAAAGUAGAUGAUAAAUAUUUAUGCCAUUCCUUAGCACUGGUUCCACUGUUCAGGAAAUUACAUUCGGAGCCGAUGUUCUUCAUAAUAAAGUCGAGACAAAUAUCUGGACCUCUAGUAUA